This 509-nucleotide ribosomal RNA is filed under the name uncultured bacterium. RNAcentral describes it as "partial 16S ribosomal RNA". It matches the Rfam family "Bacterial small subunit ribosomal RNA", at positions 355 to 855 of the family's 1533-position model. The record is from RNAcentral.
UAGGGAAUCUUCCACAAUGGACGCAAGUCUGAUGGAGCAACGCCGCGUGAGUGAAGAAGGUCUUCGGAUCGUAAAGCUCUGUUGUUGGUGAAGAAGGAUAGAGGCAGUAACUGGUCUUUAUUUGACGGUAAUCAACCAGAAAGUCACGGCUAACUACGUGCCAGCAGCCGCGGUAAUACGUAGGUGGCAAGCGUUGUCCGGAUUUAUUGGGCGUAAAGCGAGCGCAGGCGGAAUGAUAAGUCUGAUGUGAAAGCCCACGGCUCAACCGUGGAACUGCAUCGGAAACUGUCAUUCUUGAGUGCAGAAGAGGAGAGUGGAACUCCAUGUGUAGCGGUGGAAUGCGUAGGUAUAUGGAAGAACACCAGUGGCGAAGGCGGCUCUCUGGUCUGCAACUGACGCUGAGGCUCGAAAGCAUGGGUAGCGAACAGGAUUAGAUACCCUGGUAGUCCAUGCCGUAAACGAUGAGCGCUAGGUGUUGGGGACUUUCCGGUCCUCAGUGCCGCAGCAAA